This 495-nucleotide ribosomal RNA is filed under the name uncultured bacterium. RNAcentral describes it as "partial 16S ribosomal RNA". It matches the Rfam family "Bacterial small subunit ribosomal RNA", at positions 28 to 507 of the family's 1533-position model. The record is from RNAcentral.
GACGAACGCUGGCGGCGUGCCUAAUACAUGCAGGUAGAACGCUGAAGGAGGAGCUUGCUUCUCUGGAUGAGUUGCGAACGGGUGAGUAACGCGUAGGUAACCUGCCUGGUAGCGGGGGAUAACUAUUGGAAACGAUAGCUAAUACCGCAUAAGAGUAGAUGUUGCAUGACAUUUGCUUAAAAGGUGCAAUUGCAUCACUACCAGAUGGACCUGCGUUGUAUUAGCUAGUUGGUGGGGUAACGGCUCACCAUGGCGACGAUACAUAGCCGACCUGAGAGGGUGAUCGGCCACACUGGGACUGAGACACGGCCCAGACUCCUACGGGAGGCAGCAGUAGGGAAUCUUCGGCAAUGGACGGAAGUCUGACCGAGCAACGCCGCGUGAGUGAAGAAGGUUUUCGGAUCGUAAAGCUCUGUUGUAAGAGAAGAACGAGUGUGAGAGUGGAAAGUUCACACUGUGACGGUAUCUUACCAGAAAGGGACGGCUAACUACGUG